This 76-nucleotide transfer RNA is filed under the name Clostridiaceae bacterium. RNAcentral's name for it is "tRNA-Lys". It matches the Rfam family "tRNA". From Rfam's summary of the family: Transfer RNA (tRNA) molecules are approximately 80 nucleotides in length. Their secondary structure includes four short double-helical elements and three loops (D, anti-codon, and T loops). Further hydrogen bonds mediate the characteristic L-shaped molecular structure. tRNAs have two regions of fundamental functional importance: the anti-codon, which is responsible for specific mRNA codon recognition, and the 3' end, to which the tRNAs corresponding amino acid is attached (by aminoacyl-tRNA synthetases). tRNAs cope with the degeneracy of the genetic code in two manners: having more than one tRNA (with a specific anti-codon) for a particular amino acid; and 'wobble' base-pairing, i.e. permitting non-standard base-pairing at the 3rd anti-codon position. The record is from RNAcentral. RNAcentral also lists the same sequence under 5 other names. Lineage: Bacteria; Bacillati; Bacillota; Clostridia; Eubacteriales; Clostridiaceae.
GACCCGUUAGCUCAGUUGGUAGAGCACUUGACUUUUAAUCAAGGUGUCCGGAGUUCGAAUCUCCGACGGGUCACCA